This is a long non-coding RNA of Solanum verrucosum, 207 nucleotides long. RefSeq lists it as uncharacterized. Lineage: Eukaryota; Viridiplantae; Streptophyta; Magnoliopsida; Solanales; Solanaceae. The record is from RefSeq and is a predicted model, not a curated record. The transcript is spliced from 2 exons.
CUUAUGUGAUGUUUCUUUUGAGCUGGAAUCGGCAUCUUCAAGCAAGCUCCAUCCUUGAUUGUUGUUAGAAUGUCUCUAUCUAUCGUCUUCCUUAGCCUCUGGUGAUGGAUUGAAAUUGAAGCUCACUGUUGACUCUGGACUGUGGUGGUGGGACGCAAGACCCCUCUUUCUGGUGAAGCUUUUGGUAGCUAUGGGAACUAGCUAGGU